UGGGGAAUAUUGCACAAUGGGGGAAACCCUGAUGCAGCGACGCCGCGUGAGCGAAGAAGGCUUUCGAGUCGUAAAGCUCUGUCCUAUGAGAAGAUAAUGACGGUAUCAUAGGAGGAAGCCCUGGCUAAAUACGUGCCAGCAGCCGCGGUAAUACGUAUGGGGCGAGCGUUGUCCGGAAUUAUUGGGCGUAAAGGGUACGUAGGUGGUUUUUUAAGUCAGGUGUCAAAGCGUGGAGCUUAACUCCAUUAAGCACUUGAAACUGAAAGACUUGAGUGAAGGAGAGGAAAGUGGAAUUUCUAGUGUAGCGGUGAAAUGCGUAGAUAUUAGGAGGAAUACCGGUGGCGAAGGCGACUUUCUGGACUUUUACUGACGCUCAGGUACGAAAGCGUGGGGAGCAAACAGG
RNAcentral lists this ribosomal RNA (403 nucleotides) under Verrucomicrobiota bacterium. RNAcentral's name for it is "Verrucomicrobia bacterium partial 16S ribosomal RNA". It matches the Rfam family "Bacterial small subunit ribosomal RNA", at positions 355 to 776 of the family's 1533-position model. The record is from RNAcentral. Lineage: Bacteria; Pseudomonadati; Verrucomicrobiota.